GGAGAAGGCAAAGUGCAGAGGAAGGAGGAGCCACUGCUAGUGGGUACGAGGUUUCUUCUUGGUACAAGGACUUCUACGUUCUGUCCUCCUGCAGCCAUCUAAAAUCAGCCAGAAAGGUUUAGGAUCCCAUUUCCUGUUCUUGCAUCGGCUGUCCAAGCUGCUGUUCCUCUCUCCGCAGUAAGAGGGUGUUUCUCUCCCUGUUCAAGAGGAGCACCAACACUUGAGGACAGUAUCAUCCCUAGACCUUGGCAAGAGAGACCACUGAGUGAGGCAUCCAUGGAACCCAAGGAAGAGGCCUACGAAGAACCUGCAGUCACCUUCUAGACCAUUCUCCCUCACCAAACUGUCCCCUCCAGAGAGCUGAGGACUGGAUCUUCCCAUGCUGACACCUCCAGUGGGAAAGAAAAUUCUAGAUUCAGCUCUGGGUGUCCAAGUCAUUAUGAAGGCAUAUUUGUCAAGGUGGAAGAAAAGGACAUAUUCUAUUUAGCAGUUUGCAAUGUCCAGCCACCUACUGAUCGUAUGUGAUGGGGGGUGAGGAGGAGAUACUUUGCAUGGCCCCCAGUGACAAAGAAGAGGCCCUUAGCUAUAGCUACUCUUGUUUUAGAGGACAACUUCUCUUCACUGAGGACAACACAGAAUCCUGGAGAUAUUUUUGAUGAGUAGUAGACAGAAUGUGCUAUAACCUUCUGGAAACUUCUACUAUUUUCCUGCAACCUGACUACCCCUUAGGUGAGGGAGUCCAGAAUGCUGGCUUGAAAUGGGAGAGAGAAAGAACUGCCACAUAAUUUGCAAGAUCUUUUUUGAAAAAGAAAAGGUAUUAAGAAUUCCAGGACAGCAUUAGGAAUGUAUUAAACCAGAAUAAGGAACAGCGGAGCUUCCCCCUAAGACCCUGGUGUGUUUCUGCAUCAGGAAACCUUCUCUCCUGCAAUGUGUCGUUUAAGAUUGAACAACAUGGUGCCUUUGCCAGAAGUUAACAGGAAACCCAAAAGGAGAUGAGCCAGACUGGUUAGUUCAGAAGAGAAUCGUUGGGGAAGACAAUGGGAGCUGCUGUUUGAAUGUGGCCCUGAGAUUAUUUGUGCUUUUCAAUCCCAUGUUACCAAAACACAUUUCAAGCUGGCCUAUAAAUCACACCUUGUGCAUAAUUUUAAGUGGAUAAAUAUUUGUCGCCCAAGUGAAUGAUGCUUCCAGCUUUCAAAAAA
This 1199-nucleotide long non-coding RNA is filed under the name Homo sapiens (human). RNAcentral describes it as "novel transcript". The record is from RNAcentral. Lineage: Eukaryota; Metazoa; Chordata; Mammalia; Primates; Hominidae.